Molecule: unclassified non-coding RNA, 409 nt
Filed under: Hevea brasiliensis (rubber tree)
Lineage: Eukaryota; Viridiplantae; Streptophyta; Magnoliopsida; Malpighiales; Euphorbiaceae
Source: RNAcentral
GUUCAAGCAAAGUUGCAUCAAGAUAAAAAUAUAGCAGAAAGGACAUUUGAUUGGCUAGGCAAUCAGAUUAAAGUUAGAAAUUUUGCAGCUGAUAUCAAAGGAAUACAUGAUCAAAUCAAAGACAUUCGUAACAACAAUCAAGCACUUCAGGCAACCCCUGUUCUUGAACUACCUAAAAAAGGGGAAGUAACUCAGGGUCCUUCUUUGGAGAAUGAUGCUGUGGUCGGGUUUGAUGACGAAGCUAACAAAGUGAUCAAGCGACUUGUUGAAGGACCGUUGGAUAGUGUCGAUAUUAUCCCCGUGGUGGGGAUGCCCGGACUUGGAAAAACUACACUGGCAAGAAAAAUCUAUAAUGAUCCUAAGCUUACAUAUGAAUUUUACAGCAUUGUUUGGGUUUACGUAGGUCAGG